AUAAGGUUAAGUGAAUAAGGGCGCACGGUGGAUGCCUUGGCACUAGGAGCCGAUGAAGGACGGGACUAACACCGAUAUGCUUUGGGGAGCUGUACGUAAGCUAUGAUCCAGAGAUUUCCGAAUGGGGGAACCCAGCAUCUUUAAUAGGAUGUUACGAUUGUGUGAAUACAUAGCACAUUCGAGGUAGACGCAGAGAACUGAAACAUCUAAGUACCUGCAGGAAGAGAAAGAAAAUUCGAUUCCCUGAGUAGCGGCGAGCGAAACGGGAAAAGCCCAAACCAGCAAGCUUGCUUGUUGGGGUUGUAGGACUCCAAUAUGGUAGUUCUUUCAGAUAGUCGAAUGACUUGGAAAAGUCAGUCAAAGAGGGUAAAAACCCCGUAGACGAAAUGUGGAAGACACCUAGGAGGAUCCUGAGUACGGCGGAACACGAGAAAUUCCGUCGGAAUCCGGGAGGACCAUCUCCCAAGGCUAAAUACUCCCUAGUGACCGAUAGUGAACCAGUACCGUGAGGGAAAGGUGAAAAGCACCCCGGAAGGGGAGUGAAAUAGAACCUGAAACCGUGUGCCUACAACAAGUCAAAGCCCGUUAAUGGGUGAUGGCGUGCCUUUUGUAGAAUGAACCGGCGAGUUACGAUUGCAUGCGAGGUUAAGUUGAAGAGACGGAGCCGCAGCGAAAGCGAGUCUGAAUAGGGCGUUUGAGUAUGUAGUCGUAGACCCGAAACCAUGUGAUCUACCCAUGUCCAGGUUGAAGGUGCGGUAAAACGCACUGGAGGACCGAACCCACGUACGUUGAAAAGUGCGGGGAUGAGGUGUGGGUAGCGGAGAAAUUCCAAACGAACUUGGAGAUAGCUGGUUCUCUCCGAAAUAGCUUUAGGGCUAGCCUCGGAAUUGAGAAUGAUGGAGGUAGAGCACUGUUUGGACUAGGGCCCAUCUCAGGUUACCGAAUUCAGAUAAACUCCGAAUGCCAUUCAUUCAUAUCCGGGAGUCAGACUGUGAGUGAUAAGAUCCAUAGUCGAAAGGGAAACAGCCCAGACCACCAGCUAAGGUCCCAAAAUAUAUGUUAAGUGGAAAAGGAUGUGGGGUUGCACAGACAACUAGGAUGUUGGCUUAGAAGCAGCCACCAUUUAAAGAGUGCGUAAUAGCUCACUAGUCGAGUGACCCUGCGCCGAAAAUGUACCGGGGCUAAACAUAUUACCGAAGCUGUGGAGUACACCUUUAGGUGUAUUGGUAGGAGAGCGUUCUAAGGGCGUUGAAGGCAGAUCGUGAGGACUGCUGGAGCGCUUAGAAGUGAGAAUGCCGGUAUGAGUAGCGAAAGACAGGUGAGAAUCCUGUCCACCGAAUGACUAAGGUUUCCUGGGAAGGCUCGUCCGCCCAGGGUUAGUCGGGACCUAAGCCGAGGCCGACAGGCGUAGGCGAUGGAUAACAGGUUGAUAUUCCUGUACCCGUUGUUUUUGUUUGAGCAAUGGAGGGACGCAGGAGGCUAAGGAAUGCAGACGAUUGGAAAUGUCUGUCCAAGCAGUAAGUCUGAAGAGGAGUCAAAUGCUUCUUUUCUUAAGGACAAGCUGUGAUGGGGAGGGAAAUAAUAGUACCGAAGUUCCUGAUGUCACACUGCCGAGAAAAGCUUCUAGUGAGAAAACAGCGGCCCGUACCGCAAACCGACACAGGUAGUCGAGGAGAGAAUCCUAAGGUGAGCGAGAGAACUCUCGUUAAGGAACUCGGCAAAAUGACCCCGUAACUUCGGGAGAAGGGGUGCUGAUCAUACGAUCAGCCGCAGUGAAUAGGCCCAAGCGACUGUUUAUCAAAAACACAGGUCUCUGCAAAAUCGUAAGAUGAAGUAUAGGGGCUGACGCCUGCCCGGUGCUGGAAGGUUAAGAGGAGUGCUUAGCGCAAGCGAAGGUACGAAUUGAAGCCCCAGUAAACGGCGGCCGUAACUAUAACGGUCCUAAGGUAGCGAAAUUCCUUGUCGGGUAAGUUCCGACCCGCACGAAAGGCGUAACGAUUUGGGCACUGUCUCAACGAGAGACUCGGUGAAAUUUUAGUACCUGUGAAGAUGCAGGUUACCCGCGACAGGACGGAAAGACCCCAUGGAGCUUUACUGUAGUUUGAUAUUGAGUGUCUGUACCGCAUGUACAGGAUAGGUAGGAGCCGUAGAAAUCGGAACGCUAGUUUCGAUGGAGGCGCUGGUGGGAUACUACCCCUGCGUUAUGGCCACUCUAACCCGCACCACUAAUCGUGGUGGGAGACAGUGUCAGAUGGGCAGUUUGACUGGGGCGGUCGCCUCCUAAAAGGUAACGGAGGCGCCCAAAGGUUCCCUCAGAAUGGUUGGAAAUCAUUCGAAGAGUGUAAAGGCAGAAGGGAGCUUGACUGCGAGACCAACAAGUCGAGCAGGGACGAAAGUCGGGCUUAGUGAUCCGGUGGUUCCGCAUGGAAGGGCCAUCGCUCAACGGAUAAAAGCUACCCUGGGGAUAACAGGCUUAUCUCCCCCAAGAGUCCACAUCGACGGGGAGGUUUGGCACCUCGAUGUCGGCUCGUCGCAUCCUGGGGCUGUAGUCGGUCCCAAGGGUUGGGCUGUUCGCCCAUUAAAGCGGCACGCGAGCUGGGUUCAGAACGUCGUGAGACAGUUCGGUCCCUAUCCGUCGCGGGCGUUGGAAAUUUGAGAGGAGCUGUCCUUAGUACGAGAGGACCGGGAUGGACUUACCGCUGGUGUACCAGUUGUUCUGCCAAGGGCAUUGCUGGGUAGCUAUGUAGGGAAGGGAUAAACGCUGAAAGCAUCUAAGUGUGAAGCCCACCUCAAGAUGAGAUUUCCCAUUUCUUUAAGAAAGUAAGAUCCCUGAGAGAUGAUCAGGUAGAUAGGUCAGGAGUGGAAGUACAGUGAUGUAUGGAGCGGACUGAUACUAAUCGAUCGAGGACUUAACCAAU
This 2918-nucleotide ribosomal RNA is filed under the name Enterococcus faecium. RNAcentral's name for it is "23S ribosomal RNA". It matches the Rfam family "Bacterial large subunit ribosomal RNA". Lineage: Bacteria; Bacillati; Bacillota; Bacilli; Lactobacillales; Enterococcaceae. The record is from RNAcentral.